Molecule: ribosomal RNA, 253 nt
Filed under: uncultured bacterium
Lineage: Bacteria
Description: partial 16S ribosomal RNA
Rfam family: Bacterial small subunit ribosomal RNA
Source: RNAcentral
UACGUAGGGUGCGAGCGUUGUCCGGAAUUACUGGGCGUAAAGAGCUCGUAGGUGGUUUGUCGCGUUGUUCGUGAAAACUCACAGCUUAACUGUGGGCGUGCGGGCGAUACGGGCAGACUGGAGUACUGCAGGGGAGACUGGAAUUCCUGGUGUAGCGGUGGAAUGCGCAGAUAUCAGGAGGAACACUGGUGGCGAAGGCGGGUCUCUGGGCAGUAACUGACGCUGAGGAGCGAAAGCGUGGGGAGCGAACAGG